Molecule: long non-coding RNA, 102 nt
Organism: Ipomoea nil (Japanese morning glory)
Lineage: Eukaryota; Viridiplantae; Streptophyta; Magnoliopsida; Solanales; Convolvulaceae
Exons: 3
Source: RefSeq, a predicted model, not a curated record
UGAAAAAUCAAGAUCCUUCCCGGGUGCCCCACACCAUUCAAAAGGUGGAUGGUAAAUGAAGCAUUAGUUGUUAUUCAGAACAUGCAUGGUGUCAUAAUUUUU